This 760-nucleotide ribosomal RNA is filed under the name Phialophora intermedia. Its description in RNAcentral is "LSU rRNA". It matches the Rfam family "Eukaryotic large subunit ribosomal RNA", at positions 159 to 947 of the family's 3401-position model. The record is from RNAcentral. Lineage: Eukaryota; Fungi; Ascomycota; Eurotiomycetes; Chaetothyriales; Herpotrichiellaceae.
ACGCUUUUGGCGCGGUGCCUUCCGAGUUCCCUGGAACGGGACGCCACAGAGGGUGAGAGCCCCGUAAGGUCGGACACCAAGCCUGUGUAAAGCCCCUUCGACGAGUCGAGUAGCUUGGGAAUGCUGCUCUAAGCGGGAGGUAUACUUCUUCUAAAGCUAAAUAUUGGCCAGAGACCGAUAGCGCACAAGUAGAGUGAUCGAAAGAUGAAAAGCACUUUGAAAAGAGGGUCAAAUAGUACGUGAAAUUGUUGAAAGGGAAGCGCUUGUGAUCAGACUCGCGCCGGGCGGAUCAUCCAGUGGUCUCCACUGGUGCACUCCGGCCGGCGCGGGCCAGCGUCGGCUGUUGCGGGGGGACAAAAGCUCUGGGAACGUAGCUCUCUCCGGGGAGUGUUAUAGCCCUCUGCAGAAUACCCCCGCGGCGGCCGAGGUCCGCGCAUUGCAAGGACGCUGGCGUAAUGGUCAUCAGCGACCCGUCUUGAAACACGGACCAAGGAGUCGAGGUUUUGCGCGAGUGUUCGGGUGCAAAGCCCCAACGCGUAAUUAACGUGAACGUAGGUGAGAGCUUCGGCGCAUCAUCGACCGAUCCUGAUGUAUUCGGAUGGAUUUGAGUAGGAGCGUAAAGCCUCGGACCCGAAAGAUGGUGAACUAUGCCUGUAUAGGGUGAAGCCAGAGGAAACUCUGGUGGAGGCUCGCAGCGGUUCUGACGUGCAAAUCGAUCGUCAAAUAUGGCAUGGGGCGAAAGACUAAUCGAACCAUCUAG